Molecule: long non-coding RNA, 1173 nt
Filed under: Neogale vison (American mink)
Lineage: Eukaryota; Metazoa; Chordata; Mammalia; Carnivora; Mustelidae
Description: Neovison vison (American mink) lncRNA (ENSNVIG00000007433.1)
Source: RNAcentral
CCAUGCGAAAGGGACACGCGCCAAUCCACAUUAAAAAAAAAAAAAAGAAAAAGAAAAAGAAAAAGAAAACAGUUUGUGUGUUUUGUAAAAUCCACAAGAGCAGCAAUUAAUAUUCCCAUAGAAUGACUUUAUUUUUUAUUAUUAUUAUUAUUUUGUCUCUCCCCUUUGUUUCCAGCGCCAGCCCCUGGCUCAGUGCCUGGUGCCAACAGAACACCUUUCAGGAUCCACAGCAACGCAGACAACGAGUCCAAGAUCCCGGCCUCUGCUUGGAACGGAACAGUGUCAUGGCGGAGACGACGGCCUUUGUCUUGCUGGGUGUGAAAGCAUCCGCUGUGCUUGCUCCACUGCGGCAGAAUCAAGUUUAAAGGAAGAAAGUGAUUAAAGUCAGCUUUGUGCCUCUUUGGUGUGGAAGACCCCCAAACCCCAAGUAGCCGAGUCUCUGGGUCCGAGGAAGGGCUCAUAGUUGGAGCAGCCUAGGCUGUAAUCCUGGCACUUGCGCCUUCGGUUGCUGCUUUCUGUUCGCUCCUGGGGGUCUGGAUAAUCUCCCUUGGCUUUACCGCACUGUCUGGCCCGCAUACAGGGCCCUCGUAACAUAUACCCGCUGCUGCUAUCGCACGAAACUGUGGCGUUGCCCCUGAAUGGAUGGCACUGUGCCAACUCUUCUGCCAUCCGCCCUUGCAGCUUUUUUCUUUCCUCCCUCCCUCCCCUUCUUCUCCUCCUCCUCUCGUCGACUUGACGUUAAUUAACACACGGGUUAAUUGAUUUUAAAAGCCGAAGAAUUACAGUUAACUUUUCCCACAGGGUACAGACGCCAGCCGCUUGGCACACUCUGCCUUCCGCACUGGUGCAGGGGGGCAGGGAAAGCCCGCAGCAAAACUGGCAACUGCUGAGGGAACGUUGCCUGCUUAUUGGAGUAGAGCCGAUAGAAGUCGACGUGAUACUGCCUCGUCCUUACGGUAUAUAUAGCCAUUCUAUAUUUUGUUAAAUAAUCAAAGCACACCCUGUCUCUCUUCUCCCUUCGUCUUUCAAAACAGGAAAACCCUUCAGAAGUUCUUAUGGGGGGAAAAAUCCCUCCUAACCCAUUUAUCUCAUCCAUAAUAUGCCCUUUCCCAAUAAUAAGAAAAUACCUGAAGCCUUUUUUCUUUAAGUUACAAGGAGGAAGGCAACCGCUUC